This is a long non-coding RNA of Polyodon spathula (Mississippi paddlefish), 243 nucleotides long. RefSeq lists it as uncharacterized. The transcript has 3 exons. The record is from RefSeq and is a predicted model, not a curated record. Lineage: Eukaryota; Metazoa; Chordata; Actinopteri; Acipenseriformes; Polyodontidae.
GCCGAAUGGAGAAGCUGAAUGAUGAGAAGCAACACCGGAGCAGAUAAUGAAGACUGAAUAACUAAACCAGAGGUCACAGAACCACUGGCAUGAUCUCAUUUAAAGUGCUAGUUAAACCCCCCAAAGUAACAACUAAAGAGUGCCCAAUUAUUAUCUGUAUCCUCGGCCAACCGCUCACAGCCCCACCGCCGACUCGGGAAACGGAGGCUGGGGAACGCGUCCUCCGAAACGUGCUCCUGCCAA